UACAGAGGGGGCAAGCGUUGUUCGGAAUUACUGGGCGUAAAGGGCGCGUAGGCGGCCUUCUUAGUCGAACGUGAAAUCCCCGGGCUCAACCCGGGAACUGCGUCCGAUACUGGAUGGCUUGAAUCCGGGAGAGGGAUGCAGAAUUCCAGGUGUAGCGGUGAAAUGCGUAGAUAUCUGGAGGAAUACCGGUGGCGAAGGCGGCAUCCUGGACCGGCAUUGACGCUGAGGAGCGAAAGCCAGGGGAGCAAACGGG
RNAcentral lists this ribosomal RNA (253 nucleotides) under uncultured bacterium. RNAcentral's name for it is "partial 16S ribosomal RNA". It matches the Rfam family "Bacterial small subunit ribosomal RNA", at positions 524 to 776 of the family's 1533-position model. The record is from RNAcentral.